AUAAAAUCUCUUUUAGUGGCAGAUACACAUGGCUUUCCCGUGUUUCAAUUUAUGGAUGACCUUGCUUUUUAUGAGUCCUUCGCAUACCAGCUGGAACUACAGAUGGUGCUAAUAUUAGGUUGAACCAAACCCUGCCAUGGGACCUCACUAGUGUUGAGAAUCUGAGAUGUGAAACAGGUGGACAAUAUUAGAUAAUAAAAAAUAAAUAUAUAAAAUGCAAGUUGCAUCAUUGCAGGGUGUUGGGAAAUUGGACAGCAAAUAGAUUUGGUUUGUAACAAGCCAUUGAGCUAAGAGAACUGAAGAUUGUGAUUAGGGGGUAUCAAACAAUAAUUUCUGGUCAGACGAUGAGGCUUGUUACUGUAUAUUGUAGCAGAUUCAUGCUACUUCAUUUAUUGAAGUAGUAAAAUUCUCUUGCUCCAGCAAAAAGAAGAGAAAAAUAAACAACAAAGCUCUUUUCUGAAUCUUCUACAUGAUAUGUACAUUAUAGCUUUCACGUUUUUCUAAUCUACGUCAACAUUUUAAGUCCUCAUGAGAUGAUUAGUAUAUAGAUAUACAUGGCUGUAGUAGAAAAAUUGCAUUUUAUUUCAAAUAAAAUGAUAUAUUUGGUCCAAGAGUGUCCUAACAUACUGUAACAGUUCUUAUAAUUGAUCAAUGUUAUUCUGUACAGGAACCUUUCAUCAAUAUUCCAGAUGAAGCAAUUCGUGAAGCGCUGAAAGUACUCCUUGGUAUAACUAAAUAUAUGAUGUGACUUCACAUUAUGAGUGGUUAGCUUGCCUGUUGGACAUUUGCUCAAGUAUUUGGUUCUUUCCUUGUGGUCGCAGAUGUAAG
This 828-nucleotide long non-coding RNA is filed under the name Eucalyptus grandis. RNAcentral's name for it is "long non-coding RNA (EGRA_LNC003321)". Lineage: Eukaryota; Viridiplantae; Streptophyta; Magnoliopsida; Myrtales; Myrtaceae. The record is from RNAcentral.